GUGGGGAAUAUUGGUCAAUGGGCGGGAGCCUGAACCAGCCAAGUCGCGUGAAGGAAGAAGGAUCUAUGGUUCGUAAACUUCUUUUGCAGGGGAAUAAAGUGCAGGACGUGUCCUGUUUUGUAUGUACCCUGAGAAUAAGGAUCGGCUAACUCCGUGCCAGCAGCCGCGGUAAUACGGAGGAUCCGAGCGUUAUCCGGAUUUAUUGGGUUUAAAGGGUGCGUAGGUGGUUUGAUAAGUCAGCGGUGAAAGUUUGCAGCUUAACUGUAAAAUUGCCGUUGAAACUGUCGAUCUUGAGUGCAAAUGAGGUAAGCGGAAUGUGUUGUGUAGCGGUGAAAUGCUUAGAUAUAACACAGAACACCGAUUGCGAAGGCAGCUUACUGGGAUGCAACUGACGCUCAUGCACGAAAGCGUGGGGAUCAAACAGGAUUAGAUACCCUGGUAGUCC
This 445-nucleotide ribosomal RNA is filed under the name uncultured bacterium. RNAcentral describes it as "partial 16S ribosomal RNA". It matches the Rfam family "Bacterial small subunit ribosomal RNA", at positions 354 to 796 of the family's 1533-position model. The record is from RNAcentral.